GAAAUAAUAAAUAAAUAAAGCUUCUAACUUUAUAACAAUGAAUUAAAAAAUCAUUUUAUUUCU
RNAcentral lists this transfer RNA (63 nucleotides) under Dolichovespula saxonica. Its description in RNAcentral is "tRNA-Ser". Lineage: Eukaryota; Metazoa; Arthropoda; Insecta; Hymenoptera; Vespidae. The record is from RNAcentral.